This 374-nucleotide ribosomal RNA is filed under the name uncultured eukaryote. RNAcentral describes it as "partial 18S ribosomal RNA". It matches the Rfam family "Eukaryotic small subunit ribosomal RNA", at positions 592 to 976 of the family's 1831-position model. The record is from RNAcentral.
UAAUAGUGUAUAUUAAAGUUGUUGCAGUUAAAAAGCUCGUAGUUGAAUGUUGGUGUCGAACGAGCGGUCAGCUUCGGCUGUACUGCUCUCUCGACUCCUUCCUUCUGUGGACUACGUCGCACUUUACUGUGUGGCGCUAGGACGCAGAUCGUUUACUGUGAAAAAAUUAGAGUGUUCAAAGCAGGCCGUACGCUUGAAUACAUUAGCAUGGAAUAAUGGAAUAGGACGUCGGGCCUAUUUUGUUGGUUCUAGGACCGUCGUAAUGAUUAAUAGGGACAGUUGGGGCCGUUUAUAUUCCGUAGUCAGAGGUGGAAUUCUUGGAUUUACGGAAGAUAAACUACUGCGAAAGCAUUCGGCAAGGAUGUUUUCGUUAA